Molecule: ribosomal RNA, 183 nt
Filed under: uncultured bacterium
Lineage: Bacteria
Description: partial 16S ribosomal RNA
Rfam family: Bacterial small subunit ribosomal RNA
Source: RNAcentral
GUAUGAAGUUGGAAUCGCUAGUAAUCGCGGAUCAGAAUGCCGCGGUGAAUACGUUCCCGGGUCUUGUACACACCGCCCGUCACACCAUGGGAGUCGGAAAUGCCCGAAGUCUGUGACCUAACCGAGAGGGAGGAGCAGCCGAAGGCAGGUCUGAUGACUGGGGUGAAGUCGUAACAAGGUACC